AACCUAGCACACCUGCGGUGUGUACCUGCGGAAGGAUCAUUAACGACUUGAAAGUGGGGCCUGCUGCUGGCAUGGAGACAUGCAUGUGCACGACCUCAUGCUCGAUUCACUCAACCUCUGUGCACCUUUGCAAAGUGGAGUAGGCCUUCUCGUUCUGAAGUGGGCUGGCAGCCGACAAGAUGACCGUGCGUGAGCACCAGUAGUCUAAAGGUGAACGGCUUAUCUUUUGAGGGGGGUGGU
RNAcentral lists this unclassified non-coding RNA (240 nucleotides) under soil metagenome. Its description in RNAcentral is "partial contains 5.8S ribosomal RNA, internal transcribed spacer 2, and large subunit ribosomal RNA". The record is from RNAcentral.